GUGGGGAAUCUUGCGCAAUGGGCGAAAGCCUGACGCAGCCAUGCCGCGUGAAUGAUGAAGGUCUUAGGAUUGUAAAAUUCUUUCACCGGGGACGAUAAUGACGGUACCCGGAGAAGAAGCCCCGGCUAACUUCGUGCCAGCAGCCGCGGUAAUACGAAGGGGGCUAGCGUUGCUCGGAAUUACUGGGCGUAAAGGGCGCGUAGGCGGACAGUUUAGUCAGAGGUGAAAGCCCAGGGCUCAACCUUGGAAUUGCCUUUGAUACUGGCUGUCUGGAGUACGGGAGAGGUGAGUGGAACUCCGAGUGUAGAGGUGAAAUUCGUAGAUAUUCGGAAGAACACCAGUGGCGAAGGCGACUCACUGGCCCGUUACUGACGCUGAGGCGCGAAAGCGUGGGGAGCAAACAGGAUUAGAAACCCUAGUAGUCC
Molecule: ribosomal RNA, 425 nt
Filed under: uncultured bacterium
Lineage: Bacteria
Description: partial 16S ribosomal RNA
Rfam family: Bacterial small subunit ribosomal RNA
Source: RNAcentral